GCUGCAUCCACAGUACCUGAAAAAUCUGAGGGAUACGUUCAAGUGUUCCUUGAUGGUGGACUAAAUCAACAGAGGAUGGGGAUCUGUGAUGCAGUUGUCGUUGCCAAAAUUCUGAAUGCCACACUUGUGAUCCCUCAGUUGGAAGUAAAUCCUGUUUGGCAAGAUUCAAGCUCAUUCGAGGAUAUCUUUGAUGUGGAUCACUUCAUCAAUGCAUUGAAAGACGACGUAGCUAUAGUCAAAGAGUUGCCUGAUGAAUUCUCUUGGAGCACACGAGAAUAUUAUGGCAUAGCUAUCCGACCUACAAGAAUCAAGACUGCUCCAGUUCAUGCUUCAGCAAAUUGGUAUUUAGAGAAUGUGUCACCUGUACUGCAGAGUUAUGGAAUUGCUGCCAUAGCUCCAUUUUCUCACCGACUGACAUUUGACAACAUGCCCAAGUACCUCCAACACCUACGAUGUAAAGUCAACUUUCAAGCAUUGGCCUUUGUUCCUCACAUCAGACAACUCGGGGAUGCCCUUAUCACUCGCCUUAGGUUUCCUCCUAGUGAAGACAACAUGGUUAGUAACAACUACCUUAGAGAGGUUACUGAUCUAAAGCCCAAACAAGGAGUUGGCAAGUUUGCUGUUCUUCACCUUCGCUUUGACAAGGAUAUGGCUGCUCAUUCAGCCUGUGAUUUUGGUGGCGGCAAGGCUGAAAAUUUGGCUCUAGCUAAAUACAGGCAAGUAAUUUGGGGAGGAAGGGUCAUCAACUCUCAAUUUACUGAUGAAGAAUUAAGGAGUCAAGGAAGGUGCCCAUUGACUCCCGAAGAAGUUGGAUUGCUGCUGGCAGCUUUGGGAUUUGACAACAACACUCGCCUAUAUCUUGCCUCCCAUAAGGUUUAUGGCGGGGAACGCAGGGUUUCAGCCUUAAGAAGUUUGUUUCCCCUGAUGGAAGAUAAAAAGAGCCUUGCUUCUUCUGAGGAAAGAGCUCUUAUCAAAGGAAAGGCUUCAUUAUUGGCUGCAGUUGAUUAUUAUGUUGGCAUGCACAGUGAUAUUUUUGUUUCCGCCUCCCCUGGAAAUAUGCACAAUGCAAUGGUCGGACAGAGAACAUACAACAAUAUGAAGACAAUAAGGCCAAAUAUGGCAUUGUUAGGCCAGCUUUUCUUGAACAAGACACUCACUUGGCCUGAGUUUCAAGAAUCAGUAAUUGAAGGGCACCAAAACAGACAAGGCCAAAUCAGACUCCGCAAACCCAAGCAAUCCCUCUAUACAUAUCCUGCUCCUGAUUGUAUGUGCCAAGCUUGAGAGGGCCUACCAUAUAGAUCUUUAUCACUAUUUGUUUGGACAUCAAAUUAUUGUUUAUUAUGCCUUAUAUUAUAGUUAUAAAUAAGAUGCCACCCCUUUUGUUGACUUGUAGGGGGUAAUUUAUAUUUAUGUGUCACCACGUUGAGAUUUUACGGUAGGGGUGGAAGGAAUAUGUUGUACAAUAUGUGUAUUACUCCUAUGAAGAGUGCAUAUACAGAUAGUAGUAUUCUAGUCUUGACAGAUAUAUUUUACUAUGUAAUGUCAGUUCUUGUAGUUUAUUCAAAAGGGUGGUUUGUUUCAUUUGGUUGAUGUAGCAGAGGUUGAUAAUAUUAUCAAAUGGCAGCUAGUGGAAU
RNAcentral lists this unclassified non-coding RNA (1634 nucleotides) under Hevea brasiliensis (rubber tree). Lineage: Eukaryota; Viridiplantae; Streptophyta; Magnoliopsida; Malpighiales; Euphorbiaceae. The record is from RNAcentral.